AUGGUGAGCUCACCCCGUCCCAACUCCCAACUCCUAACAACCCUUUUGUUUAGGAGCCCCACUUCGGUUCUGCAAUAUCCGAAGAAGGUACGUGUGCUCCAUUUGUGUUUUUACAAUAGUAGCAAGCUACCUGAAUCUUUAGGUGUGCUGAAGCAUCUUCGGCAUUUGAACCUUGUCAAAACUUCUAUUGCCGAAUUGCCUGGGUCAUUAUGUGCUCUUUGUCAGCUACAGAAGGGGUCUGGGUUGCAACAGCUCAGUGACAUGAAAGAGCAUGGUGGCAGUUUAAGUGUCAGAAAUCUGGAGAAUGUCAGUGGAAAGAAUGAGGCCCUAGACUCUAAGCUAUAUCAGAAAAAUCACUUCGGAACCCUGUGCCUUGUCUGGAGUUCGAAUAAUGACACGAGUGUGCAGGAUAGUUUACGGUUGGAGAUUAUUGAAGGAAGCGCACCAAUGCACCCAAGUGAGCCAAUGGAAAAAUCCCAGGGUGGUCCAUGGACCACCAUCUGGCCACCCCUCGUUAUGCCAAUGCACUGA
Molecule: ribosomal RNA, 531 nt
Filed under: Triticum aestivum (bread wheat)
Lineage: Eukaryota; Viridiplantae; Streptophyta; Magnoliopsida; Poales; Poaceae
Description: partial small subunit ribosomal RNA
Source: RNAcentral